UACGUAGGGGGCUAGCGUUGUCCGGAAUCAUUGGGCGUAAAGAGCGUGUAGGCGGUCCGGUAAGUCCGCUGUGAAAGUCGGGGGCUCAACCCUCGAAUGCCGGUGGAUACUGUCGGGCUAGAGUGCGGAAGAGGCGAGUGGAAUUCCUGGUGUAGCGGUGAAAUGCGUAGAUAUCAGGAGGAACACCGGUGGCGAAGGCGGCUAUCUGGACAGAGUCUGACGCUGAGGCGCGAAAGCUAGGGGAGCAAACAGG
This 253-nucleotide ribosomal RNA is filed under the name uncultured bacterium. Its description in RNAcentral is "partial 16S ribosomal RNA". It matches the Rfam family "Bacterial small subunit ribosomal RNA", at positions 524 to 776 of the family's 1533-position model. The record is from RNAcentral.